This is a non-coding RNA of Drosophila virilis, 84 nucleotides long. The record is from Rfam. NCBI's taxonomy places the organism in Eukaryota, Metazoa, Arthropoda, Insecta, Diptera, Drosophilidae.
AUCGUUUUUAUCAGAUUGAUUGCGUGGAUUGAAUUUAUAGGAACCUGUAUCGACUUCUCUGCUCUACUAAGACUUGUUCAAAAC